Molecule: transfer RNA, 90 nt
Filed under: Nitrospirota bacterium
Lineage: Bacteria; Pseudomonadati; Nitrospirota
Description: Nitrospirae bacterium (bioreactor metagenome) tRNA-Ser
Rfam family: tRNA
About the family: Transfer RNA (tRNA) molecules are approximately 80 nucleotides in length.
Source: RNAcentral
GGAGAGGUGACCGAGUGGCCGAAGGUGCACGACUGGAAAUCGUGUGUGCGCUAACCCGCACCCAGGGUUCAAAUCCCUGCCUCUCCGCCA